Molecule: transfer RNA, 73 nt
Filed under: Bacillota bacterium
Lineage: Bacteria; Bacillati; Bacillota
Description: Firmicutes bacterium (gut metagenome) tRNA-Ala
Rfam family: tRNA
About the family: Transfer RNA (tRNA) molecules are approximately 80 nucleotides in length. Their secondary structure includes four short double-helical elements and three loops (D, anti-codon, and T loops).
Source: RNAcentral
GGGGGCAUAGCUCAGCUGGUAGAGCGCUUGAAUGGCAUUCAAGAGGUCAGGGGUUCAAGUCCCCUUGUCUCCA